This 451-nucleotide ribosomal RNA is filed under the name uncultured bacterium. RNAcentral describes it as "bacterial SSU rRNA". It matches the Rfam family "Bacterial small subunit ribosomal RNA", at positions 29 to 524 of the family's 1533-position model. The record is from RNAcentral.
AACAAACGCUGGCGGCAGGCCUAACACAUGCAAGUCGAACGCCCUAGCAAUAGGGAGUGGCAGACGGGUGAGUAACACGUGGGAACCUUCCCUAUAGUACGGAAUAGCUCAGGGAAACUUGAAGUAAUACCGUAUACGCCCGAGAGGGGAAAGAUUUAUCGCUAUAGGAUGGGCCCGCGUCGGAUUAGCUAGUUGGUGAGGUAAUGGCUCACCAAGGCGACGAUCCGUAGCUGGUUUGAGAGAACGACCAGCCACACUGGGACUGAGACACGGCCCAGACUCCUACGGGAGGCAGCAGUGGGGAAUAUUGGACAAUGGGCGCAAGCCUGAUCCAGCCAUGCCGCGUGAGUGAUGAAGGCCUUAGGGUUGUAAAGCUCUUUUAGCAGGGAAGAUAAUGACUGUGCCUGCAGAAUAAGCUCCGGCUAACUUCGUGUCCAGCAGCCGCGGUAAU